This 4939-nucleotide long non-coding RNA is filed under the name Sus scrofa (pig). RNAcentral describes it as "lncRNA (ENSSSCG00000063239.1)". Lineage: Eukaryota; Metazoa; Chordata; Mammalia; Artiodactyla; Suidae. The record is from RNAcentral.
GACAGUUGCCCACAAUACUCUGGAUAAAUUAAUGUUGUGACCUUGCCAUGGCUAUCGGACAUAAAAUGUCGACUAUUUUAAUAAUUGAACAUGUGCUUACAGCAAACUGCCUACUGAUAUCUUAGCUCUGUGGACAGUCAGCUUAAGCACCUCACUCCCAGCUCUGUGAAUCGGAAACAACAGAUGCAAAUACCACUUUUGUUUUUUCCUAUUCCAUGCCGUCUCUGAAUGUUACAUACAGGGAAGACACACACAUUAUUUAACUUAACAGAAAGCAUAAAAACAUUAACCAAGGGAGUUAUAAGAUAAAGAAGAAAGGUUUGAAGAAAAAUAAUAAUUAUAAACGAAUGGCCAUGCAUUUAAAAUAUUUAUGUCUGGAUCUGAGUUAGUCAGUUGCCCAGUGCCCAGGCUUUUUAUCAAGACCACCUUUGAGCCAACAGGAAUGUAGCCCUGAUUAAAUCAAUAUUUAUUUGAAAGAAGAUGUAUCAGUUCAACUAUGGCUGUCAUAGACACAAGAUUAAGGUCUCUUCUUAUUCUAAACGUCUAUCCAUCAAUACUAAAACAUUCCUAAAGGACACUCUGACUACAGCCAAACUAUUUACAAAAUAAAAAUUUCAAUGUAUUUUAUAUUUAAUUUGAAGAAGCAAUGCAGUGCAGUCUUCCUAGAUCAAUUAUUUUUAGAUGUUAUUUGAGUUUUGUUCUAUUAACUUAAAAAAAUACCUACGAUACAUCUGGAUCUAUAUCAAAUGAUGUAUUAUUAAAUUAAAGGAAGCAAUAACUACUCUAAAAUACUUUAAUACGACCUGUCUUCUACCUUACUAUUAAGGCAAGGAUCAUUUCUUGGAAAGGCCAUUUGAACUCACUGUUAUGAGAGUUAUGGGAGUUGCACUUAAAAGCACUUGUAAGGAAGAUGAAGGACAAAGUGAUCGACAGUUCAAACUUUGACUCAAAAUUCAUGGAUGUGCAGAAUAUAUUGUUUAUUAUUACUUGCAUAUUUUGUUUUAUUUUAUCUGUACUUUUCAACCAACAACAUGUACAUAACAAAUUAAAAUUAAAUAAGGUAAAAACUCGGUUCCUCUGUUGCCUUAACUAUAUUUCACAUAUCCAGGAGCACCUGUGACUGGUAGUUACCAUUUUGGACAAUGCAACUAUAAAACUUUUCAACCGUGAAGAAAGUUUUAUUGGACAGUACUGAAUUACACUGUCCCAUGAAAAGUGUAUGGAAUAACAGAUCACAGGGUCCCAAUAUUUUCAUUCCAGUCUAUUUUAAGAGAAAGAAUUUAUAUUGAUUUAUUUUAAGAUCUAAAGUAGGAAAUUUUCCUUUGACUAAAUAACAUCUAAAGUUUUAUUUACUAAUAGUUUUGAAAUAUACAAGAUUACUUAAGGGUAAGGGUUAUAUAGAAAUGAACUUCAAAAAGGUAGCUGAUAACAAAACCAUUAAAAGACACAAAUACUCAAGCUAAAAUCUCCCAAUAUAUCUGACGGAUGCUCAUUUGUCUAACCUUUGCAGAAAUGAGUCAUGCUUUUUAGUGUCAAACAAUGUAUAUUAUAUACUUCUGUUUUCAAUAAAGAAAGCCUGUAAUAGUAGUAUAAGCAGCAAAAAUACAGAGAAAAAGCAAUUUUAAAGAAUACUAUACAUAUAAGGGAGAAUUUUGGUUAAAAGUAGCAAUAACUAUGGUUAUACUUUUUUCUUUUUCUUUUUUUAAAGAGAAAAGAAAUAAUAAUUAAAGGGCAAGGGAGACAGGAAUCAGAUGCCAAUGAACUAGGAUGACCUGAUUGGGAAUUUCUAUUAAAUAAAACACCGAGGUGUGUGUGUGUAGGUGUGUGUAUGUGUGUGUGUGUGUGUGUGUGUGUACCUUCUUAAGAUAAUUUUGAGUUAUCGAUCAGAUUCUAGAAAUGAUUACCUUAAACAAAAUGAAAAUAAAGUAAAACAUAAAUGUAUAUGAGUUAUUACUUUAAAAAUUUCAUGGUGAAUAAUACAGGUGGUUUUCAACAAGGAAAAACUCCUCAUAUUUUCUUUUAGAAUUUUAGUAUUUAGGCUACGGGAUAAUUCAGUGUUUAACAGACACUUCUGGAUCGGAAUGCAAAAGGCUUAUUUGUCAACCUAAGAUUACUUCUUCCUUUCUCUUUUGAUAUAUAAGUGCAGAGCAUCACAACUAACACAGAAAAAUAAUCACACGGAUUUAUUUUCUUUUCAGGGAUGAUCCUUUAGACCCUGGCAUGUGAAAUCUAAUGUAUAUAACUGUAACUCUCUAGAGCACUCUCUCUCUUUCUUCCAACCUAACCCCACUUACAUCCCCCCACCCUGGCCCCUGCACUGCUUUCCACAAGGGCAUAACCCACUUGCCAAUCCAGUCUGUCGUCAACGUCUAUGAGGGGACCACUUUCAAAGCCACAAUAGAGAGAUGAGAUCUGAGGAAAGCAAGCCUAAGACAUGAGUAAUCAAAGCAAGAGCAUGAACUUGAGGGAGGUCUUGAGGGGAAAGUGACAAUAACAGCCACUGUUGUACAGCCACGCACGUGGUGAACGGAUAGAUCUUGAGGACGCUGGUGGAGUUCUCUUUCAGGAAAAAGGUAGGGUAUGAUAAUGAGGGGCAAUUUGGAGACCACAACAAAAUUAUGCCAUAUCAAAUUAUCUCAAAAUCCAGAAGAGUAUUUUUCAAUACUUAGCAGGAAUAUACGUACUAACAGUAGAGGAAUGUUUCUGCUAUGUUGAUGUGCUUCCCAAUAGGUGAGAAAGUGAAAAAUUAAUUUUGACUUUUUAAGAUGGGACAUUAGGUAAAAAUGCUAUCAAGUGACUUCAGAACUACCCUCAUAUUUAGAGUCUCAAUACUAUGGCAAAGGAGCAGUAAUAACUUAUGUGUUAGCUAACAUAGCAUAGAACAGUCCAGGCAUCAGUUAUCUGUGAGGGAUUGGUUUUAGGACCCCUGGGGAUAUUCCAGUCCCCUAUAUAAAACGGUGUAGUAUUUACAUAUAGCCUAUGCUCAUCCUCCCAUGUCUUUUAGGUCAUAUUUAGAUAACUUAUAAUAUCUAAUACAAUGUGAAUGCUACGUAAAUAGUUGCCAGCAUGCAGCAAUUUCAAGUUUUGCUUUUUGGAACUUCAUGAAAAAAUGAGGGCGGGGGAAUGGAAUAUUUUUGAUCUGUGAUUGAUUGAAUCUGUGGUUGUAAGACGCAUGGAUUUGGAAGGCCAACUGUAUUAUUUGCCUUAUGUUCUGUAUACACAUUUUCAAACAAAGUGGAAGGAAAUAGUCUUGGAGUCAGGUAACUGGUUCUAGUGCCAAUCUGCUUAACAAUAAAAUUGAUGGUCCUGGAUAAGUCCUUUAACUAUUGGAACCAUAGUUCUAUUAUUUUUAAAAUUAGGAGGGACAACUAGGCCAAUCACCAGGCUUAAUUCAGCUCUAAAAGUUUGUGCAAAGAAAGGGAUUAAAUUUGGAAACAUAUGUGGGUCAUUGCUAUCUAUUCUUUGGACAUAGGUAUGUGUAACUGUGCCAUUUAAUCCUCACAGUACUGUCCAGUAGCAUUUAUCUUCAGGAAGACUAAUGAUAAAUCCCCUUCAUAAGUCCCUGUGAUAUCUCACCUAAUAACUGAAUCUCAAACAUGUAUCCUUUCAUUUUAGUCACAUAAUGUGAAAAUAUAAACCUUUAGAUUAGGUUUCAUAUGGGGAGUACCCUACUUACAUUUAAAUUUUCAUUUAUUUGAAACAAUAUGUAAAAUAUUUUCAUGUUACAAUUAGGGGGAUAGUAAUUUUGUAAGUUUUAGAAAAAUAUAUAUACGCCGUUAUGGUACAUGUACUAAGGAAAAUUCAGAGUUUUCCUGGAUAACUUAUUUACAAAAAAUUAGCUUACAGAGAUUUUUUUUUUUUAAAUUGAAGAUGAGUACAUUGAAUAGACAUAUUUUAGGUUUAAUAAUGCAUUUAAAAUGUCAGGCUAAAAAUAUGUCAGUUUAUAAAACUUCCUUAAGUGAGUUUUAGAAAUUUUGAAUAAAAAAAAGAUACAGAAUAUCAAGUGAGUCACAGGUUUAAAGAUUGUUAUCAACUAUCAAAAGCUUUAAAAACAUCUUUUUUGAUUAAAAAUAUACUCAUUUUGAACACUGCUUAACUUAGGUGAGGUAAAGUUAUUAAUGGAUAGUUAUUACUCUGAUUGCUUAUAAUCAUUUUUAUUCAGAUUUUGAGUUUCCUUCAAUAGGAAAAAAUAUGCUAAUUUUGUAGUUUUUUUUUUUUUUUUUUCUUCCGCUCUUUUAGGGCCGCACCCAUGGCACAUGGAGGUUCCCGGGCUAGGGAGCUACAGCUGCCAGCCUAUACCACAGCCACAGCAAUGCCAGAUCCAAGCUGCAUCUGUGGCCUACGCCACAGCUCAUGGCAAAGCCAGAUCUUUAACCCACUGAGCGAGGCCAGGGAUUGAAUCUGCAGCCUCAUGUUUCCUAGUCAGAUUCAUUUCUGCUGUGCCGUGAUGGGAACUCCGGUUUUUUUUAUUAUAAAGAAAAGGUAAUACUUUAUCCACUGAUCAUGAUAAGUAGGGAUGGAACACAAAUGAUAGGGUUAAUUAUCUUAAAUGAAAUAUACUUUCUUUAUAAAUACUUUUAUUUCCUUUCUUGAUUUUUCCUAUUAAAUACCAUACCUUUAUGAAACUUAAUAUCACACAAUCAGACAUGUUCUUUACAAGAUUGUAUUUUCACUUUGCUAUCUCCAUGCUCAGCGACAGAGAUUGUUUCCUGAUUAACACACUUUUAGAAGUAUAAGUACUAGAAGACAAGUGUUAACUUUUCAAAUAUUGUUUCAUGAAGAAUGCCACUCUAGCACACUCUUGAACUUUAUUCCGAAGGUUUUCACAAUAGGUUGAAGAAGCUUCCAUUACAUGGGAGAGGAGGAAAAUAUUUCUAAGUAUUAUAAACAUCAUUUAAAUAUUUUUGAACAGUAAAGGUUCAAGUGUAUCUUGCAUUUC